Cyanistes caeruleus (blue tit) is the source of this 1705-nucleotide long non-coding RNA. RefSeq lists it as uncharacterized. The record is from RefSeq and is a predicted model, not a curated record. Lineage: Eukaryota; Metazoa; Chordata; Aves; Passeriformes; Paridae.
UUUUACUUAAUUUUUAUCUCUUAAUUGUCUAUUAAACUUUUAAAUUCUAUAAAAAAUACGUGAACCUCGUUUUUCACAGCAUGGAAUGCUGAAAAUCCUGUUACAUGAAAGUCUUGCAGAACACGAGAGACCUGUCAGCCAACACCAGGGACCUUGCAAAACUGCCAGUUUCUAAGACCUGUAGAGAGAAUUCAGCUUUCAAAAGUUCAGGAAUUAGAUGGUAACUGCGCGCCGUCUAGCUGCUGAAUUUUCUUUGAGCAUACAGUGAAAACCCAAGGCUUUCUAUUGCAAAGGACAGAACCCCGGCUCAGCGGUGGCCUUCUCGCAACACUCCACUUGAGCCAGGAAUGUCCCAGCAUGCAGAAACACCAAAGUGGGUUACAGACCCAGCAGUUCAAGCUUUGAAACAAAGAACCACAAAGGGAAGCUUUGAGCUUCUGUUGCACCGGGGGAGCGCAUCAUGGAACAGAAACUGGCUUUGAAGCUCAGAGACCCAUCUGCCACAAUGGUUUGUUAAGGAAGUAAAAAUAAAUGAGCAAUAAAAAUGACCUCUGCAAAAGAACAGAUGAGCUUUGUUGAGAUGAUUCAGUUUGUGCUAUUUCACACGUGACAGCAGGAUCCGAAAUAAGCGUUGGUUAUCGAAAGGAGUGAGAGCUAACAAUCCGAACCUUGGGUUUAAAGGCUGAGGAGAAAAUGUAAAGCCACACUUUGAGGAGUCUGCAUGUCCCCAAGAGGAACUAUAUAGAAUCAGUUGGACCAACAGGCUCAGCUAAAACACAAGACAUGUUUGGGAAAGUGACAGUUUAUUCUUCUCUCCUUCAACUCGUUAAGAAAUUAAUUAUUACUCUCAAAGCCAAUCAUAAGGCAAAAAAAGUAUCACAUAGACUCCCACAGUCCCAUUCGUAGAAUCAAUUACAUUAAGACUUGUGUACAACUUCAAAACCAUGAGAUUUUUGGUAAGCACUUAUAUGUAUUCCAUUUUCUAAGAAAUCUCUCUUGCCUCAGUCAGGCAGCUAUCUGGGUGAAACACCGAAGCCUGGAAAUUUUACAGUCCAUAGCACAGUCAUAACUAAAGGUUCAAAAUUUGCUUUGCUCAAAGGCACAAGGCCAAAAUAACACAGGUCAGCAGAACUUGGGUAGUGUCACUGAAUUUAAAUUUUUCAUUUUUUUCUUUAGUCUCCAAUUUUAAGCUUUUAGCCAAAGCUCAGAUCCUCAGCAGCACAAACCUGCUUCACGAACAAAAAAACUGAAGGUGUUUCCUUCCACAUUUCCCCUGCACUAUCCUCAUUUGUUGUGCCAAAGAAAACAGAAGCCUUGGCAGCAAAUCAGUUGUGCAGCCAAAGGCCAUAGCAUUCCACCACACUUGUGAGAAGCUCAUUGUCAGAGUUACUGCUGGCAUGUGAACAUUCCGCACUGACUGGUCAUGUCCCACCAAUACCGAGACGGAAUCCCUCUGAUGACAGAAAAAUGAGCAUUUAAAUAAUUUGUAGAACUUCUCCAUUUCCGCUAGUACGUGGAAUGAUAAAUAUUAUAAAAAAGACUUAAAAUAGUGGUCCCAAGAGUAACUUGUAACUCCAGCAAACAGAAUGGAUCAGCAUAAAACAAAUAAAGAUGCAUCUUACUUUGCAAAUCAAAGGUUACAAUUACUAUAAAAUACCUCCCUCAGCCACUGGAAAAUGAACCAUUAGAGUCAAAUUCAGUCAGC